UUCCAGACUCCUACGGGAGGCAGCAGUGGGGAAUAUUGCACAAUGGGGGAAACCCUGAUGCAGCGACGCCGCGUGAGUGAAGAAGUAUUUCGGUAUGUAAAGCUCUAUCAGCAGGGAAGAAAAUGACGGUACCUGACUAAGAAGCCCCGGCUAACUACGUGCCAGCAGCCGCGGUAAUACGUAGGGGGCAAGCGUUAUCCGGAUUUACUGGGUGUAAAGGGGGCGCAGACGGCGAUGCAAGCCAGGAGUGAAAGCCCGGGGCCCAACCCCGGGACUGCUCUUGGAACUGCGUGGCUGGAGUGCAGGAGGGGCAGGCGGAAUUCCUGGUGUAGCGGUGAAAUGCGUGGAUAUCAGGAGGAACACCGGUGGCGAAGGCGGCCUGCUGGACUGCAACUGACACUGAGGCUCGAAAGUGUGGGUAUCAAACAGGAUUAGAUACCCCCGUAC
RNAcentral lists this ribosomal RNA (447 nucleotides) under uncultured bacterium. Its description in RNAcentral is "bacterial SSU rRNA". It matches the Rfam family "Bacterial small subunit ribosomal RNA", at positions 329 to 793 of the family's 1533-position model. The record is from RNAcentral.